Molecule: long non-coding RNA, 1395 nt
Filed under: Homo sapiens (human)
Lineage: Eukaryota; Metazoa; Chordata; Mammalia; Primates; Hominidae
Description: long intergenic non-protein coding RNA 635
Source: RNAcentral
AUAGCAACAGCAGCGUAGCUGAACAUCUUACGGAUGGCCCAGGGCUCCAAAGGCUCGUUUCCUAAGUGAGAGAGAGCCUGGCUGAAGCUGUAUUACCAUUCAUUCUCCAGCCUCCGAAGUCUCAAAGCAUCACUUCCACCAUACUCUAACUGUCAAGACAAACACAAAGGCCCAGAAACUGCCAGACUGUCUUCUGAAGUGGCUAUAAUAUUUACACUCCCAUCAGCAGUGUAGAAGGGGUCUCACUAUGUUGUCUGGAGUGCUGUGGUGGAGUGGAGUGGCUAUUCACAGAGCCUGUUCUGCUGGGACACAGAAUCACUUGCUCCAUCUCAUACAUUGAUGAUGAUUAAUUUGUAUGUGUACCUUCCAAAAAAGAUGGUUGUGUUUGAAUGGAGGCCUUCUGGACAGGAAAAUUGCAAAGUACAAUUAACAUUUGAGUCUGUCUGAGUCAUGAAGAAAUGGAGAUUACUGAAAAUAAUUCAUUUUGGUAUCUUCUUACAUCCUGAGAGACUAAUCUUUCCAAGUUCAUCUGAGGCUCCUCUUCUCCAUGACAACCUCAUCCAGGGAUUUCUUCCUGUCCUGGUGUUUUAUGACAUGUGGAAGGGGACUGUAGCAGGUGAUCUCCAAAGUCUCUGGAGACUUACUAAUGUGCAUCCUCAUCUCGCUUGUAAGGAUAAUAGCCUUCCUCCAAACCUCACACACUUUUGGAGGAGAUCACUUUUUUUAAAGUGCAUGGAAAUGUUUUGAAACAGUGAAAUCUAUAAUGAUAGGUUUCAUAAUUCUAACAUCCACACCAUAUGAAUCACAUCCUUCCUGAGAUAAUGAGCACACAAUUGCCUGGAUACCUGAAGGAAUGGAGACAGCGGCAGAAAACACUGCAGAGAGGUGGAAACAUCCGUUAAUAUUUUAAAAUCCCAUUACUGCUACCAACAAUAAUAAUGGAUGCAUAGAAAUAGAUCUGGAUUAGCUGAGCUUGAAACAGUCCAUCUCACACACACACAAAAGAAUUUCAGGUAAUGAAGAAAAGAAAAGGAAAAAAAUAACACAUGGCCUCUGUAACAUUGUUGCUUUUGAACCUUAUUGGAUUUGUGGCAAACUGGGUGCUUUUGGGACAUGAGUCUCCUACCACUCACCUGCCUCUGAGCUCUCCUCUGAGGCCGGUCACUGCCCAGAAGGGAUGCACCUGUCUUCUGUCCUGUGGUCUCUGGGUAGCCCCUGGGUCAGCAUUUUGGGUGCUAGCAUCUGAUGCAACUGCUACAGUUGCUGAUGAGAAAGUAGCUACCCUCCUCCACUCCACCCCUGCCGCCCAGGCCCUGCCACUCCUGCUAACCUGUCAGGCUACAUUUUCAAUUACUGGCUUUGAAAAAUGUCCAGGUGGAUUAAAUCAAUGAAUGC